RNAcentral lists this ribosomal RNA (467 nucleotides) under uncultured bacterium. RNAcentral's name for it is "partial 16S ribosomal RNA". It matches the Rfam family "Bacterial small subunit ribosomal RNA", at positions 28 to 507 of the family's 1533-position model. The record is from RNAcentral.
GACGAACGCUGGCGGCGUGCUUAACACAUGCAAGUCGAACGGAAAAGCCUCUUUCGGGGUGUACUGGAGUGGCGCACGCGGGUGUGACACGCGAGUGUCCUGCCCCUGACUUUGGGGUAAAAUCAGUAGACUGGGGCUAAUACCCGAUAGGAGAUCCUGCUGCAUGGUGGGGGUUGGAAAGAUUCGGUGGUUCGGGAUGGCCUCGCGGCUAAUCAGCUUGUUGGGGGGGUAGUGGCGUACCAAGGCAUUGAGUGGUAGCCAGCCUGGGGGGGUGAACGGCGCCCUUGGGACUAAGGUACGGCCCAGACGCGUACGGGAGGCAGCAGUGGGGAAUCUUGCACAAUGGGUGGAAGCCUGAGGCAGCAGCGCCGGGAGCGGGAUGACGGGUUGUGGGUGGUGAACCGCUGUCGCACAUGACGAAGCUUUGUGUGACGGUAGUGGGUAAAGAAGCACCGGCUAACUACGUG